GGGACAACAGCUAGAAAUGGCUGCUAAUACCGCAUAAGCCUACAGCCUCGCAUGAGGGAGCAGGAAAAGAAAUUCGGUGCAGGAUGAGUCCGCGUCUGAUUAGCUAGUUGGAGGGGUAAAAGCCCACCAAGGCAACGAUCAGUAGCCGGCCUGAGAGGGCGACCGGCCACAUUGGGACUGAGACACGGCCCAAACUCCUACGGGAGGCAGCAGUGGGGAAUAUUGCACAAUGGGGGAAACCCUGAUGCAGCGACGCCGCGUGAGCGAGGAAGUAUUUCGGUAUGUAAAGCUCUAUCAGCAGGGACGAAAAAAGACGGUACCUGACUAAGAAGCCCCGGCUAACUACGUGCCAGCAGCCGCGGUAAUACGUAGGGGGCAAGCGUUAUCCGGAUUUACUGGGUGUAAAGGGAGCGUAGACGGCAAGGCAAGCCAGAAGUGAAGGGGCAGGGCUCAACCCUGUACAUGCUUUUGGAACUGUGGUGCUAGAGUGCAGGAGAGGUAAGUGGAAUUCCUAGUGUAGCGGUGAAAUGCGUAGAUAUUAGGAGGAACACCAGUGGCGAAGGCGGCUUACUGGACUGUAACUGACGUUGAGGCUCGAAAGCGUGGGGAGCAAACAGGAUUAGAUACCCUGGUAGUCCACGCUGUAAACGAUGAAUACUAGGUGUUGGGGGCUGAAGCUCUUCGGUGCCGCAG
Molecule: ribosomal RNA, 693 nt
Filed under: uncultured bacterium
Lineage: Bacteria
Description: bacterial SSU rRNA
Rfam family: Bacterial small subunit ribosomal RNA
Source: RNAcentral